AAGCGAGAUCGAGAGAUGGAGCAAAUCCCAAAAAUAACGUCCCAGUUCGGACUGUAGUCUGCAACCCGACUACACGAAGCUGGAAUCGCUAGUAAUCGCGGAUCAGAAUGCCGCGGUGAAUACGUUCCCGGGUCUUGUACACACCGCCCGUCACACCAUGGGAGUCAGUAACGCCCGAAGUCAGUGACCUAACCGAAAGGGAGGAGCCGCCGAAGGCGGGACGGAUGACUGGGGUGAAGUCGUAACAAGGUAUC
RNAcentral lists this ribosomal RNA (254 nucleotides) under uncultured bacterium. RNAcentral's name for it is "partial 16S ribosomal RNA". It matches the Rfam family "Bacterial small subunit ribosomal RNA", at positions 1247 to 1500 of the family's 1533-position model. The record is from RNAcentral.